AGGGUGUAAACGCUGCAGACUUGGUGUUGGGAGUCCUUUGGGGGCAUUCAGUGCCGGAGAGAAGUUGUUAAGUCUGCUACUUGGGGAGUACGUCCGCAAGGAUGAAACUUAAAGGAAUUGGCGGGGGGAGGCACCGCAACGGGAGGAGCGUGCGGUUUAAUUGGAUUCAACACCGUAAAACUCACCAGGGAAGACUGUUACAUGAAAGCCGAGAUGAAGACUCUGCUAGAUUUUCAGAGAGGAGGUGCAUGGCGUCAGUGACU
RNAcentral lists this ribosomal RNA (263 nucleotides) under uncultured archaeon. RNAcentral's name for it is "partial 16S ribosomal RNA". It matches the Rfam family "Archaeal small subunit ribosomal RNA", at positions 748 to 1008 of the family's 1478-position model. The record is from RNAcentral.